UGGGGAAUCUUCGGCAAUGGACGAAAGUCUGACCGAGCAACGCCGCGUGAGUGAUGAAGGUUUUCGGAUCGUAAAACUCUGUUGUUAGAGAAGAACAAGUACCGUUUGAAUAAGGCGGUACCUUGACGGUACCUAACGAGAAAGCCCCGGCUAACUACGUGCCAGCAGCCGCGGUAAUACGUAGGGGGCAAGCGUUGUCCGGAAUUAUUGGGCGUAAAGCGCGCGCAGGCGGUUUCUUAAGUCUGAUGUGAAAGCCCACGGCUCAACCGUGGAGGGUCAUUGGAAACUGGGAGACUUGAGUGUAGGAGAGGAAAGUGGAAUUCCACGUGUAGCGGUGAAAUGCGUAGAGAUGUGGAGGAACACCAGUGGCGAAGGCGACUUUCUGGCCUAUAACUGACGCUGAGGCGCGAAAGCGUGGGGAGCAAACAGGAUUAGAUACCCUGGUAGUCCACGCCGUAAACGAUGAGUGCUAGGUGUUAGGGGUUUCGAUGCCCUUAGUGCCGACGUUAAC
This 511-nucleotide ribosomal RNA is filed under the name uncultured Bacillota bacterium. Its description in RNAcentral is "bacterial SSU rRNA". It matches the Rfam family "Bacterial small subunit ribosomal RNA", at positions 355 to 856 of the family's 1533-position model. Lineage: Bacteria; Bacillati; Bacillota. The record is from RNAcentral.